Molecule: ribosomal RNA, 497 nt
Filed under: uncultured bacterium
Lineage: Bacteria
Description: partial 16S ribosomal RNA
Rfam family: Bacterial small subunit ribosomal RNA
Source: RNAcentral
GAUGAACGCUGGCGGCGUGCCUAAUACAUGCAAGUCGAGCGAACGGACGAGAAGCUUGCUUCUCUGAUGUUAGCGGCGGACGGGUGAGUAACACGUGGAUAACCUACCUAUAAGACUGGGAUAACUUCGGGAAACCGUAGCUAAUACCGGAUAAUAUUUUGAACCGCAUGGUUCAAAAGUGAAAGACGGUCUUGCUGUCACUUAUAGAUGCAUCCGCGCUGCAUUAGGUAGUUGGUAAGGUAACGGCUUACCAAGGCAACGAUGCAUAGCCGACCUGAGAGGGUGAUCGGCCACACUGGAACUGAGACACGGUCCAGACUCCUACGGGAGGCAGCAGUAGGGAAUCUUCCGCAAAGGGCGAAAGCCUGACGGAGCAACGCCGCGUGAGUGAUGAAGGUCUUCGGAUCGUAAAACUCUGUUAUUAGGGAAGAACAUAUGUGUAAGUAACUGUGCACAUCUUGACGGUACCUAAUCAGAAAGCCACGGCUAACUACGUG